CACGUUAUGGUGGGCGACUCUAAGGAGACUGCCGGUGACAAACCGGAGGAAGGUGGGGAUGACGUCAAGUCAUCAUGGCCCUUACGGCCUGGGCUACACACGUGCUACAAUGGUCGGUACAAAGGGUUGCCAAGCCGCGAGGUGGAGCUAAUCCCAUAAAACCGAUCGUAGUCCGGAUCGCAGUCUGCAACUCGACUGCGUGAAGUCGGAAUCGCUAGUAAUCGUGAAUCAGAAUGUCACGGUGAAUACGUUCCCGGGCCUU
RNAcentral lists this ribosomal RNA (262 nucleotides) under uncultured Pseudomonas sp. Its description in RNAcentral is "partial 16S ribosomal RNA". It matches the Rfam family "Bacterial small subunit ribosomal RNA", at positions 1122 to 1382 of the family's 1533-position model. Lineage: Bacteria; Pseudomonadati; Pseudomonadota; Gammaproteobacteria; Pseudomonadales; Pseudomonadaceae. The record is from RNAcentral.